GUAGUUGAAGGGGAUAUGUUAAGGCGAUGGGCCUGGCCUGCAGCAUUCCCAUUACUGUACUUAAGUGUUGGAUUCACACCCUGCAUUGCAUCAAAAUAUGUACAGCAAAGGAUUAACAGUUCUGAAUAAAAUAAAACCGAAAAGCUACCGAAAAUUAUACAUUUAACGUCAAGUACAAGCUCCCCAACAAAUGUUUGCAAAACAAAUUGGUCUGUCACAAAGCAGCUAAAAUUAAUGAUUGGUUAAUAUUUUCACAAGAAGUGUAUCUAGACCAAUAAAUUGUACGACCCUGUCUUCAUGGAAGCCUAAUUUUGGUGACAGAACUCAAUCUGAGAGAUGGUUACAUAAGUGUUUAAAAUAAAGCUGCUCUGUAGUGGAGAGCCUGUCUGGCAUUUGCAGCCUUACCGUUCUCAGAUUGUGCUGUGUACAGAGCAGCCACGCAGUAGUACUGGCUUUGCACACCUUGUGUUGUGUCUAGUCGAUAUUUAUUCUGCUGUUGAAUUGGAUUUUGUUUUUUCUAAUUUAUCCUUUGGACUAGCCAUUACAUUUAUAUUGGUUUCCUGCCCCAGAAAUAACUCGUGGACAGUGAUGGGAGUGCAUUAUGCAUUUCAGUGCUAGAAACAUUUGAGUGUUGUAAAUUGCUCUGGUUACUACAUUAUUGCUUUGUAAAAACAGUUUUUAAGGGUAUAGUUACACUAGGUAGUCAUUACCAGGACUGAAAUAACUGCUCCAGUAUGUCUACAGGCUAUAUUUUCAUUAAGAUUGUGUAUCUGUUCAUUUUAUGUUUGUAAAUAUUUACUGUGUUACCAAUAUUACUGGUGUGCAUAGUUACACAGGGUUUUAUAAAAUUGCUUGGAAAAAUUAAUUGCUGUGAUUGGCUUAACAAGAUCAAGACAAUUCUAACCCAUCAUAGACCAGCUUGCUUACUUGAUCUGAAAUAUUACUACACUUUAAUAAUGACAAUUAUCUAAACAGUGUAGGUAAAAAUGUCAACAUACAACUGAAACAGCAUUUAAAUAACCCAACAAGCCCUUUUUUUCAAUCUCUGUAAUGAAGAAUUACAGAAAAAAUGGCAAAUAUACUGUGGUAUUUAGUCAGAACAAAGAACUGAGGUAAGCAGUAACACUUUAUUCAAAAGCCAGCUGAGAAAUGGCUUCCUGCCUCUCAACGCACCCAGGGUGUGCAGUAAGAAUUGUCUUACCUUACGUCCUGUCCUGAGUUAUUUCUUCCAUAACUAUCUUACUACGCUUUAAAAGCAUGUGUGAGAAAACACAUUCUGUAGCAUAUUGUUGCAUCCAGGGAUUCGGAAUUGAAUGAGAACAGGAUAAACAGGGGACCUGUUUUCUGUAAAUACAGAAGAACAAAUGCUAUACUAUAUGGAUUAGUGUUUGAAUGGAUUUUUAACCUUAACAUGCUAAAAUAUCACUGUCUGCAGCCUGUCUUGCCUAUUUUAGAUACUGGCAUGUCUUCAAAAGGCUUGUAUGUAAGGCUGUUUGUUUUACAGUUUGCUGAUGAAUGAUUCUCUGGCUUAACACUUUGCAGAGUUUGCAGUUUAAGGGUGUGUUCACACUGGGUCCGUUUAGGGGGUUUGGUCUGCACUCGGUCCGGUUUGGUCUGAAGUGUGAACAAGAAGGUCCGCUUGGGCAGGCAAACCUUACUGAGCCCACCGAAGAAAGGUGGUUUCAAUCCGUUUGGCAAACGCACAGAGUCUGGUUUGCUUGCUAAACGUCACUGGGAACAACUGCUGGACUUUUGCAAAUAGGAAACAAACUAUACAAGGCGGAGCUUCAUGGUCGGCAAGGUGACACAGCUGAAUUUUUUUUCCUUGAUCAUCCCAUCUGGUGCUGUCUGUCAGUUUCUCAGCACACAGUACAGUAGUCGCUCAGUAACGAGGUGCAAACAGG
Polyodon spathula (Mississippi paddlefish) is the source of this 1904-nucleotide long non-coding RNA. RefSeq lists it as uncharacterized. The transcript has 2 exons. NCBI's taxonomy places the organism in Eukaryota, Metazoa, Chordata, Actinopteri, Acipenseriformes, Polyodontidae. The record is from RefSeq and is a predicted model, not a curated record.